AACGAACGCUGGCGGCAUGCCUAACACAUGCAAGUCGAACGAGACCUUCGGGUCUGGUGGCGCACGGGUGCGUAACGCGUGGGAACCUGCCCUUAGGUUCGGAAUAACUCCCCGAAAGGGGUGCUAAUACCGGAUAAUGUCUUCGGACCAAAGAUUUAUCGCCUUUGGAUGGGCCCGCGUUGGAUUAGCUAGUUGGUAGGGUAAAAGCCUACCAAGGCGACGAUCCAUAGCUGGUCUGAGAGGAUGAUCAGCCACACUGGGACUGAGACACGGCCCAGACUCCUACGGGAGGCAGCAGUGGGGAAUAUUGGACAAUGGGCGAAAGCCUGAUCCAGCAAUGCCGCGUGAGUGAUGAAGGCCUUAGGGUUGUAAAGCUCUUUUACCCGGGAUGAUAAUGACAGUACCGGGAGAAUAAGCUCCGGCUAACUCCGCG
RNAcentral lists this ribosomal RNA (433 nucleotides) under uncultured bacterium. Its description in RNAcentral is "partial 16S ribosomal RNA". It matches the Rfam family "Bacterial small subunit ribosomal RNA", at positions 29 to 507 of the family's 1533-position model. The record is from RNAcentral.